UCCAACAGUUCGCUAUCAGAUAAUAAGGUGAAGCUGUGUGAGCCUUUGUGACUUAUUCGUAUAAAAGCGGGUGGUACCCAACGGUCACUUGUGCAGUCGUUGGGUAACGUCAACUUACUGUUGUCCUGACAGGAAGUGGACUUUCAGAGGCGAAAGACUGAUUGCACGCUUUUCAUCAGCUCAUGCUAUGAAUAGAGGCGAGCCCAUGGAGGAAAUGUCUCAAGAAGACAACCAUGACUGUGUGUCCUCGAGCAAUCCUG
Molecule: long non-coding RNA, 260 nt
Organism: Ornithodoros turicata
Lineage: Eukaryota; Metazoa; Arthropoda; Arachnida; Ixodida; Argasidae
Exons: 3
Source: RefSeq, a predicted model, not a curated record